AUAGAGUUAAAAAUUCAUCUCGUGGUUAAAUUUAGAGUCAUACAAACUAUCUCAAUUUCAUAUGAAUAAAAAAUUCAAAUUGCAAACCACAUUUUGAGUCAAUAAUCCUUCUCUUAGGACAGGUACAAAGAAAGUAUCUCAGAUUUAAUAACUCACAAACAAGCUGCCUCAUAAGAAUUAAAAAGAAUCUCAGAUUUAUCACAACUCUUUCAUUCAUUCAUAAUUGCCUCAUAUAACAUUUGUUUUAAAAAGUUUAAAAACUAAAUAGCCCAAUUUGAUUUGGCAAAUCAAGAGAUGUUUAGUAUGGAAAAUUUAAGAUUAGAAUGCAUAGACUUAUUAUAACUAGUAACCAACUUUGCAUAAAAGACCUGUUAACGCUUGUUUUUCUUAGUAUGAAAGCUUACUCAAUAAGAACUUUUGUUUGUACUCUUGGCUUCUUUUAUAAACUUAUUCAUUAUUCUGAAUAAGAAAUCAGUAUCCUUGUUGUCUCUCAUUGAGCAAAAAAAGUUAUUUUACAAUUUGAUCCAUAUCAUAUUUAUUAUUUAAAAUGAAGGAAAACUUUAACUGUUUAAUUUGUAAAUAAAAAUUCAAAAUAAUUGGAGUUCAUGAAAUUGAAUAUGUAUUUAUGUUUUUGUCUAGUCAAAUACAACACAUGGAAAAGCAAGAUAGUGAACAAUAGUAUUAUACUGACACAUAUGCAAAGUGAAAACCUAGUAAAUAGUUUCACUCCUAGAGGCAAAAUCUUAUGUGUCUCACUUUAAACCUAUUGACAAAACCUUUUAUAUGUAACCCAAGUUAUUUAAGGCAUGUUUGAUUAGGUAGACACAAAACAGAGAACAGGUAGAAAAUGAGGUGAGAAUCCAAAUAUUUUAGUUUUUAGUCCUAACCUGAAUGAGCAAUGAAAGCCUAUAAUUUCCACUUGACCCGUAGAUAUGAAAGUAAGAAAGCUAAAAAAAUAUAGUGACCACUUCACUCUUGCACAUGCGAUCAAGUACCGUUACUGUAGAAAUAAAAAGUAAUUUAUAUUUAUAGAAAAACUUCAUAUGUUAUAUUUAUAUUUAUAGAUAAACUUCAUAUUCAUAAAAAGGUUAGUAGCCACUUCAUGAAGGGAAUCUUAAAAUGCUCAAAACAAAAAGAGAACGUUGUGGAUAUCUUUACAAUGCCAAGCAAAUCAAGUAUUCAUAUAUCAAAUCCCUAAAUAAAUCAAUCAAUCCAUUUAUUUUUUAUUUUGGCUUCCUCAACUGAUCCUACAUUUGAACUGUUUUCCAGCUUGAUCUUCAAUGACUAUUUCAAAUUUAUGUGCCAUCAAAGUUAUAAACCAUAAGACAUUAAAUCAGAAAUCAUGUUAUAAAUAACAAAUAUAUGUAAUUGUAAAUCAAAAUACCAUUGAAGAUUUGAAGGACUUGAAUACCAAUAGAACCGAGAAAUUAAGCAAAACAAGCAUAACACAACAUAUUAUAUAACUGGAAAAAAUAACAUGAGUCUGCGGCAUUCGCCACACAACAUGAACAAUGAUUAAUGAUUCUCAUUUCUAAGUUCUAAAACUAGUUCUUAGGUAGCCAAGCAAUGUUCAUAUUCCAAGUACUGACUAUUCAGUCUUUCCACUUCACAAUACUAAACUAACUAUGUUGACAACUAUAAUUAUAUACAUUAUUUUUAAAAGAAUUGGCUGAUGACUAAUUCAACAGCUAUAAUGAGAGGGGAGAGCUACUUUGAAAGGAAAAAACAUCCAGUCUUUUGCUUAAUUAUUCAGUAUACAUAUUUAUUCUCUAUGUGUAUGACAGGCUUAUUCAAUAAGCUCUUUAGUACUCAGAUGAAGUCCAAAAAAGAAAAAGAUAUUCUAUAAAAAAACUAAAGCAUAAAAAAUCUAAUGCAGAAGUAGAAAACUGGCAAGGUACUACUGAUAAAAAUGACACGAGAUAUGAGAGAGCAUGGGACCAGGUACAUAUUUCAAGGGAAUUUCCAAAAAAUUAUUUGUUAUUGACUAUAUCAAAAAUUGUGUACCUCAUUACCAUACUUCAAGCCUGGGCACCUAAUCUUCCGUUGCAAAUCAGAAUCAAGCUUGGUGAGCAUAGAGCCCAACCCAACGACACAACGUCUACAUCAAACUCAUGUUCACAGACCGAUAUGUUAGCACAAUGAAAUCAUAAUCAAAGGAAAUAUAUGGUAACAUCAAUACGGUGGCAUGAAAAUCGUAUCAACAUAAGAUCUAUGAUGCAUAGGUAUGGUACUAGUAUCAUGUAUUGGUACUAGUACGGGAUAUGGUAUUUAAAAAAAAUUAAGGUACGGAUACAUCAAUGAAAAACAUUAUUUUUUUAUAUAAUUUAACUAAGAGAGUUAAAUUGUUCAAUUCACAAUAAAAACUCAAAAUAAAUGUUUAAAAAAUCACAAAUUGUGUUCGGUUACAAUAACAAAUAAACUCAAAUAAACAAAUAAUAUAAUAUCAAUAUAUAACAAAAUCAUCAAUUUCACUUGAAAUAAAAUAAAUAAAAACAGAAUACCCACUAGUAUGAGUACCAGUACCGGGUAAGCACCCAGUAUGCGUACCAUGCUUCAUAGCAUAAGAUGCAUAGGGAGUGUUUCAGCCAUUAUUUUGUAUAUAAAAUGCAAGCAACAUCCCAAUCAUCUUCCACAUCAUUAAUUAGAAAAAAAUAUAAAAUGACAAUAAGUAUUUACCUCUACAAACAAUACCUAGACAUAUGUUUUCCCCAUUCUUUCAACAUACAUUGAAUAAAAGUUACAAACCAAAGGUAGGUGGAAGUUCACAAUUUUAUGCUCCGAGACUAUGUAGAUCAGAUCAAGAAAUAUUGAGUAGCUGUUUUUACCAAUUUUAAGGCAGACAGAUUUGGUGACAGUUUGGUUUGAUGAGGCCGAAAUGCAUAUAUUAUUCUACACAUAACUCAUAAUAUUUCGGAAGUCAACUUGAUAACAGGCUAAUAGAGUAUAAUAAAGACCGAUUUAAAUUAAGACCAUUUUACUAAAAGUAACCGUAUACAUUUAUGUAACAACUCAUUCAUAUAAAGAGUGUUAUAUAGAAGGUUAGAGUUGAUUAUAAAGAAUACUGACCAGUAAUUCCUUGGAUGAAUUUGUCUCAAUAGUCUUUCAUUCUUAACUCCAGUUCACAACACUACACUGAUCAUCUUCAACUCCAAUUUUGCUCUGAGCAUAAUCAAGAAUAGCAAUGGAAAACAAUUUCACCACACCAAAAGCAAUGGAAAGAAAAUAAAAUAACAUAAGAAAAGGGAAACAUGUAAAAGGAAGAUUAAUCAAUUAACAUAAUUCAAUUCCAAGACAGUAUUCAGGGUAACCAUUAAUACUGGAAUUAUAACUCUUUUCAUAAAUCAUUUUUGUAACCAUAGAGCUCUUGCUAUUUCUGUCUGCCUAUAAUUAGAACUCUUGGAUCUGGUAUAAAAUACAUCAUGAACCUAUACCAAAGAGACAAUUGAGCACACAAGGGUAAAAUAAAACAAAAUACAAAAGCUAGCAAAAAAAGCAUUGAAAAAAAACUGAAUAUGCAUCUGAAAUUUAAGUGACAGAAUUUGCAAUUGUAGAUUGAUUGUCACAGAAGAGCACAAUUCCAAUUGCAAGACCCCUAUAUAAUAAAAUUUAUUAACAAUAACAAACAUCAGGACUUCACAACUUGCACAUAUCCCUUCUUCCACACGCUACGUGGUCUGUGCAAAUUUCAAUUUUUAAUUGAUAGGGUCACACUAUCCAUUCUGCUGCCAUCCUCAAUUGACACACUAUAUUGUACUCUGUUUCUUAGAUAGUUCAAUUUUUUCAUCAAUAAGAAAAAAAAGUGUCAUAGUAUCCUAAUAGAAAGUUCAUGAUCAAAGUUCAAACAAUUAUUCAAUCUGAUAACCAAAUAAAGUAAUGUGAUUCCACAGCAUAUUACUAAAAUAAUGUGGUUUGAAAAUGAGCUCAAAAUAGUACGAAAAUUUGGAGUUUAGACAAUUAAAAGCUAAGCAUUUAACUUAUAGCUCAUGCCAACUACUAACAGUGUGACCUCAUGGCCUCAUUAACAUUCUUCUUUAAACAAUAUGAAUGAAUGUAUAGCUGCCUCAUAUGUGACAAUAGAGGGCUUAAGACCCUCUUUCGUCAUCUUUGUCAUCACCUUACUAGCAGUCGCAAAAUCUCCAGCUUUGCCAAGGUAAGUAACCAAAGUGUUAUAUGUGACAAUAUCGGGAUUAACCCCAGUUUCUUCCAUUUAGUUAAGCAUUUCAUAAACUCAUUCAAGCUUCUUCUUCUUACAGAACACACUUACGAGAACAUAGUAGCAAGUUCUAUCAAGACUGAACCCAAUCUGUUUCAACUGUGAUAACAACACUGGCAUCACCCAUCCUUCCAGCAAUGCUUAAGCCAGAUAUCAAACUGCAUGUAAACAAUUGCAUCCGGUCAGCAUCCAGAACUCAACAUCUCAUCAAAAUAUUGCAUGGCUUUAUCAAUAUUGUUCACACCACAGAAUGCAAAUAUCAGCACAGCAUAAGUAACAGCAUUUCCUUUCGGCUUUGCAGAACCCAUCAAUCAAGUAAUUAUAUGAAACAGUGUUUGGCCUAUUUUUCUUCUCAGUUUUCAUCUCUGCCAGCAAACUCAAACUAUCUUCUUCCCUCCCAACUUUACUAAGUUUGUCAAUCAAAGUAUUAUACAAGACCACAUCAGGUUCCACACCAAUCCUAUUCUUUUCUCCUUUACCUCUCAAUUUAUCAAAUACCCCCAACGCCUCAUCGAUCCUCCUAGCCUUGCAUAUGUGAUUAAUAAAAAUCCCAAACGUUAUAACACUGGAUCCGUAUUUUCGUUUCUUCCAUCUCUGCCAACAGUUUAAUGAUCUUUUGAAUGUCUCUUUGCCUUCUGAGUCCGUCAACAAGGCAUUGCAAGAUGCAGCUUCAACAGGACCACCCAAUUUCAUCACACCACCCAAGGGCAUUGAGGCACAAUAUUGUCAUCUCAAUUUAUCGAAUUUAAGGUCAUAUAGACUCAAAUAUCAAAUAGGUGUCUAAGGUCAUUGAGGCACAAUAAUGGCAUCCAAUCCCAAUUUCAUAUGAAUAAAAAACUCAUAUUAAAGGCUAAAUUUAGGGUCAAGAUCCAAUUACAUAUGAAUCAAAAAUUCAACACAUUUAGGGUCAAGAAUCUAUCCCAUAAUUAAAUUCAGUUCAUACAAAAAUACUAUUUCAAUUUCAUAUGAAUAAAAAAUUCAUAUUGCAAGCUACAUUCGGGUCAAGAAUUCAUCUUGUAAUUAAAUUUCAGGUCUUCCAAUCAUACAAUCCCAAUUUCAUAUGAAUUAAAAAUCCGUAUUGAAGGCCACAUUUAGGGUCAAGAUCCAAUUUCAUACGAAUAAAAAUUCAUAUUGAAGGUCACAUUUAGGGUCAAGAAUCUACCUCAUAAUUAAAUUUCGGUCAACCAAAACUACUAUUUUAAUUUCAUAUGAAUAAAAAAUUCAUAUUGCAAGCUGCAAUUCGGGUCAAGAAUUCAUCUUGUAAUUAAAUUUCAUGUCUUUCAAUCAUACAAUCCCAAUUUUAUAUGAAUAAAAAAUUCAUAUUGAAGCCACAUUUAGGGUCAAGAAUCUAUCACAUAAUUAAAUUUCGGUAAUCCAAAACUACUAUUUCAACUUCAUAUGAAUAAAAAUUUCAUAUUGCAAGCCACAUUUAGGGUCAAGAAUUCAUCUUGUAAUUAAAUUUCAGAUAUUCCAAUCAUACAAUCUCAAUUUCAUAUGAAUAAAAAAUUCAUAUUGAAGGCCACAUUUAGGGUCAAAAAUCUAUCUCAUAAUUAAAUUUCGGUCAUCCAAAAAUAUUAUUUCAAUUUCAUAUGAAUGAAAAAUUCAUAUUACAAGCCACAUUUCGGGUCAAUAAUUCAUCUUGUAAUUAAAUUUCAAGUCUUCCAAUCAUACAAUCCCAAUUUUAUAUGAAUAAAAUAUUCAUAUAGAAGGCCACAUUUAGGGUCAAGAUCCAAUUUCAUAUGAAUAAAAAAUUCAUAUUGAAGGCCACAUUUAGGGUCAAGAUCCAAUUUCAUAUGAAUAAAAAAUUCAUAUUAAAUGCCAUAUUUAGGGUCAAGAAUCUAUCUCAUAAUUAAAUUGUGAUCAUCCAAAAAUACCAUUUCCAUUUAAUAUGGAAAAAAAAAUUCAUAUUGCAAGCCACAUUUCAGGUCAAGAAUUCAUCUUGUAAUUAAAUUUCAGGACUUCCAAUCAUACAAUCCCAAUUUUAUAUGAAUAAAAUAUUCAUAUUGAAGGCCAGAUUUAGGGUCAAGAUCCAAUUUCAUAUGAAUAAAAAAUUCAUAUUGAAGGCCACAUUUAGGGUCAAGAUCCUAUUUCAUAUGAAUAAAAAAUUCAUAUUGAAUGUCACAUUUAGGGUCAAGAAUCUAUCUCAUAAUUAAAUUUCGAUCAUCCAAAAAUACCAUUUCAAUUUCAUAUGAAAAAAAAAUUCAUAUUACAAGCCACAUUUCGGGUCAAUAAUUCAUCUUGUAAUUAAAUUUCAGGUCUUCCAAUCAUACAAUCCCAAUUUUAUAUGAAUAAAAUAUUCAUAUUGAAGGCCACAUUUAGGGUCAAGAUCCAAUUUCAUAUGAAUAAAAAAUUCAUAUUGAAUGUCAUAUUUAGGGUCAAGAGUCUAUCUCAUAAUUAAAUUGCGAUCAUCCAAAAAUACCAUUUCAAUUUCAUAUGAAAAAAAAAAUCAUAUUGGAAGCUACAUUUCAGGUCAAGAAUUCAUCUUGUAAUUAAACUUCAGGACUUCCAAUCAUACAAUCUCAAUUUCAUAUGAAUAAAAAAUUCAUAUUGAAGGCCACAUUUAGGGUCAAGAUCCAAUUUCAUAUGAAUAAAAAAUUCAUAUUGAAGGCCACAUUUAGGGUCAAGAUCCUAUUUCAUAUGAAUAAAAAAUUCAUAUUGAAUGUCACAUUUAGGAUCAAGAAUCUAUCUCAUAAUUAAAUUUCGGUCAUCCAAAAAUACUAUUUCAAUUUCAUAUGAAUGAAAAAUUCAUAUUACAAGCCACAUUUCGGGUCAAUAAUUCAUCUUGUAAUUAAAUUUCAUUCAUAUUGAAUGUCAUAUUUAGGGUCAAGAGUCUAUCUCAUAAUUAAAUUGCGAUCAUCCAAAAAUACCAUUUCAAUUUCAUAUGAAAAAAAAAAUCAUAUUGGAAGCUACAUUUCAGGUCAAGAAUUCAUCUUGUAAUUAAACUUCAGGACUUCCAAUCAUACAAUCUCAAUUUCAUAUGAAUAAAAAAUUCAUAUUGAAUGUCAUAUUUAGGGUCAAGAGUCUAUCUCAUAAUUAAAUUGCGAUCAUCCAAAAAUACCAUUUCAAUUUCAUAUGAAAAAAAAAAUCAUAUUGGAAGCUACAUUUCAGGUCAAGAAUUCAUCUUGUAAUUAAACUUCAGGACUUUCAAUCAUACAAUCUCAAUUUCAUAUGAAUAAAAAAUUCAUAUUGAAGGCCACAUUUAGGGUCAAGAUCCAAUUUCAUAUGAAUAAAAAAUUCAUAUUGAAGGCCACAUUUAGGGUCAAGAUCCUAUUUCAUAUGAAUAAAAAAUUCAUAUUGAAUGUCACAUUUAGGAUCAAGAAUCUAUCUCAUAAUUAAAUUUCGGUCAUCCAAAAAUACUAUUUCAAUUUCAUAUGAAUGAAAAAUUCAUAUUACAAGCCACAUUUCGGGUCAAUAAUUCAUCUUGUAAUUAAAUUUCAGGUCUUCCAAUCAUACAAUCUCAAUUUUAUAUGAAUAAAAUAUUCAUAUUGAGGGCAACAUUUAGGGUCAAGAUCCUAUUUCAUAUGAAUAAAAAAUUCAUAUUGAAUGUCACAUUUAGGGUCAAGAAUCUAUCUCAUAAUUAAAUUUCGGUCAUCCAAAAAUACCAUUUCAAUUUCAUAUGAAAAAAAAAUUCAUAUUGCAAGCCACAUUUCGGGUCAAGAAUUCAUCUUGUAAUUAAAUUUCAGGACUUUCAAUCAUACAAUCCCAAUUUCAUAUGAAUAAAAAAUUCAUAUUGAAGGCCACAGUUAGGGUCAAGAUCCAAUUUCAUAUGAAUAAAAAAUUCAUAUUGAAGGUCACAUUUAGGGUCAAGAAUCUAUCUCAUAAUUAAACUUCGGCCUUCCAAAAAUACUAUUUCAAUUUCAUAUGAAUAAAAAAUUCAUAUUGCAAGCCACAUUUCGGGUCAAGAAUUCAUCUUGUAAUUAAAUUUCAGGUCUUCCAAUCAUACAACCCGAAUUUCAUAUGAAUAAAAAAUUCAUAUUGAAGGCAACAUUUAGGGUCAAGAUCCAAUUUCAUAUGAAUAUAAAAUUCAUAUUGAAGAUCACAUUUAGGGUCAAGAAUCUAUCUCAUAAUUAAAUAUCUGGUCAUCCAAAUAUAUUAUCUCAAAUUCAUUUCAUAUGAACAAAAAAUUCAUAUUGAAGGCCACAUUUAAGUCAAGAAUCUAUCUCAUAGUUACAUUUGGAAUCAUCCAAGCAUAGCGACCAACUUGCCUUAAGGGUACAUAUUGCAACUUUUCAAUUUUUAUCAACCUUCUCAGUCAAGAAUAAUCAAGAAUCAUCAAGAUUAUAUACAUUCUUGGAUAAUCAAUUAUAAAUGUUGCAAACAAAAAACCUACACCAAAACAUUUGUGUCAAACACAAUUUUGGAAACAGAGAAUGUUUGCUCAAUAGAAGAAGAGAAUCAAUAGAUCAGAAAUCAAAGGAUAAUGGGUUGAAAAUGAAAUAGAGAGAAAUUUAUAUCUCUCAUUCAAAUGAAGCAAAUCAUGGACAGCAGAAAUUUGAAUCCAAAUAACAAAGUCUGUGACUUCGUUGUCAUCUUUUUACGGCACCAAUUGAAAUCAGAAUUCUAGGGUUCGAUUGACCAAGAUUCAUAGAGAUUGGGCGUUCUUGGUUGAUUUUCAAGAACAUGAACGGGAACGGAAAGCUUUAUAUUUUAUUUUGUAUCACCAUUUGUGACUAUGCGAUCAUCUGUUUUUUGGCACCAAUUCAAAUCAAGAUUUCUAGGGUUUUAAUUUCAUGAACACCAUUACCGUCAACGUCGCAACGAAUAAGAAAGAAAAAAUGGCUCAAAACAUCAACGCCAAACACGAAGAUGACACCGGUCGAAUCGAUUAAUGCAGAAGAUUGAAAAUUGAGAUGGAAAAAAAUAGAUAUCGAAUUCAAGAGAUUAGGGUUGAGAGGACACACCUUUGUUUUUCUUUUUCUGGUUCCGUGACAAUAAUUGAAUUCAACAGAGAUGUUCUAUUUUUUCCUAUUUCCGUCUUACGCCUCUUUCACUGAUAAAGCAACCACAAUCUUUAAACCCAAAGAAAGAAGGAUAUGUC
Molecule: long non-coding RNA, 9251 nt
Filed under: Cicer arietinum (chickpea)
Lineage: Eukaryota; Viridiplantae; Streptophyta; Magnoliopsida; Fabales; Fabaceae
Description: long non-coding RNA (CARI_LNC002261)
Source: RNAcentral